AUCUGGAGGAGGUUGUUCCAGGCAAAUGGAGCAACAACCACAGAAGCACAGAGGCCAGAGGUGGGAAGAAGCUUGGAGAGUUUUAGCAACAACAAAAAGGAUGUGAGAAUGAGAUCUCAAAAUAACCAAGUUGUUCACGGUAAUCCUACGGGAGAGAUGACUGCAAGAAAGAUCUGGAAGGUGGAGCUCUCCUUUUGCUGCUAACCACUCCUGCUAAAGGCCUGAUACAGUCUCAGAGAUCUGCAGAUGCUGUAGGUACCCUACCCUGGAGGGAUGUGGGCAAAGGCUUCCUUCUCUCGGAAACCACUCCUACUCCAGGGACUCCAGGUCUUGGAGACCUGAGCCUGGGCUGCAAGGCAGAAUUGAAGUGCAAGGUCAGAGGCCAAAGCCUGCAGAAGCAAAAGGAGGGCAGAGAGCGGGGCUGGGUUUGCAUCUUUAAUGAGUACAUCCAUUUUCUUUGAUGCCUUUGUAGGGUCAGCCCUAACUUUAUUAGCCUGCUUAUUAACUCUGGCCACUAUUCAGGAAAGGUAACUUCCGUCCCUGUGUGAUCUGGGAUCACCACCCCCACAUCCCUGUCUCCUUGGUGGGGAUUGGCUCUGGAAAACGUUGUCAUUCCUACUUGUCAAGAAGAUGGGAGGGGUGCCAGGCAGUGGUGGUGGUGCACCCCUUUAAUCCCAGCCCUUGGGAGGCACAGAUAGGUGGAUCUCUGUGAGUUCAAGGCCAGCCUGGUCUACAAGAGCUAGUUCCAGGAGAGGCUCCAAAGCUACAGAGAAACCCUGUCUCACAAAAACAAAAAAGAAGAAGAAGAAGAAAAAGAAGAAGAAGA
Long non-coding RNA from Alexandromys fortis (reed vole), 826 nucleotides. RefSeq lists it as uncharacterized. The record is from RefSeq and is a predicted model, not a curated record. The transcript is spliced from 3 exons. Lineage: Eukaryota; Metazoa; Chordata; Mammalia; Rodentia; Cricetidae.